AAUCAGCAGAAGGUCAGUAGUAGCCUAACAAUACGUCACAAUGGCUGCGUCAUCCACCUCACUUCAUCUCAUCACGUAGGCAUUUUAUGUCACAUCAUCACAAGAAAGAAGAUUAAAAUCUUUAGCUUUCAUGUGGGAAGAGGUCAUCAGGGGACAUGACCACUGAUUGACCUGUAAGCUGGAUCCAGACAACCAGAGGCAUCUCACCACCUACCUUCCCCUAUCCUUGGAAUGUGUGCUGAGCCUACCCAUUCCCAUAGUGGGAACCGUUUUGAAGGAUGCAGCCUUGAGAGAACAAUUUGUAGAUGAGACUGUCUGGAUGGAAUGCAUUACUGAACCCAGGUGGAAAGUGAAUUUGCCAACCAACUUGAAUAAAGCAGAUGCCUCGAUUCCAAUUUGGUGGCUUCUGAUUGUUGGAGGAGUAAUGGAGCUAACAUGUAGAGGCAGGUAGGUCACACUUGGCACAUGAAUAAGUCCUGUUUAGGUACUAGUUAUGAUCAGUAUGAUCAUGAUUAUUGUUAUCAUUAUUUUCAAUUGGUUAGA
Long non-coding RNA from Neofelis nebulosa (Clouded leopard), 543 nucleotides. RefSeq lists it as uncharacterized. The record is from RefSeq and is a predicted model, not a curated record. NCBI's taxonomy places the organism in Eukaryota, Metazoa, Chordata, Mammalia, Carnivora, Felidae. The transcript is spliced from 3 exons.